Molecule: transfer RNA, 86 nt
Filed under: Peptoniphilus sp. ING2-D1G
Lineage: Bacteria; Bacillati; Bacillota; Tissierellia; Tissierellales; Peptoniphilaceae
Description: tRNA-Leu (GAG) (tRNA-Leu-GAG-1-1)
Rfam family: tRNA
About the family: Transfer RNA (tRNA) molecules are approximately 80 nucleotides in length. Their secondary structure includes four short double-helical elements and three loops (D, anti-codon, and T loops).
Source: RNAcentral
GCGGGAGUGCUGGAAUGGCAGACAGGCAUGUUUGAGGGGCAUGUGCAAGUAAUUGCGUGAGGGUUCAAGUCCCUUCUCCCGCACCA